CAUUUUUUUCCAUUUUAGAACCUGUUAUCUAGUUGUCAUUGCUUUUAAGAACUAGAUAUGUGAACUUCAAAUUUUUUUUGUUUCUGUCUUUGUGGUGUAAAUGCCUGAAGUAACUAGGAAAAUAAAACUAACAUUCACACUUUUAAGGAAAAGGUACAGCAUUGAAGAGGCUUUCAGGGUAGGGCAUAACUGCAUUCCCUAGGCUCCCAACCUUAGAUGCUAUCGCGCUGGGGAAACUUGGUGUGCUAGCUCUAAGGAACACCACGGAGCGUGGAGUGGAGUGGAGACACCACAGCUAGGCUCUGUAAUCAGGUGGGGCCUCGAUUGUUCUUGUGCACAAAGCUGCACUUUUUGCCACCCUAAGCCAAAGACCUGUCAUGUUUUGACAAAUGCUGUACCCUAGUGUACUUUUUGCUCAUUAUAAUAUCAUUAUAAUACCAAAACACACCUCCAUCCCAAAAGCUACCCGCCUCCAAGGUGCGACCACCCCUCACUGAGCAUGCGCUCUGAAUUUCUCAGAGCCUAUUACUUUAAACGGAGACGGGAAAACUUUACACCAAUCAUAACUAAGAUAUGCUUGACUAGAACCACUCAAGCUCCACCUAAAAGAUAGAAAAUAAUAUAAAUUGACCCAAGAGAGAGGGGAUGUUAGGGAAGAUACCAUCGUCAGGGGAGAUACCAUCCCGAGGACAUACAACAUCCUUAGGACCUCCUGACUCCUGGGAUCAGUCGACGGGCUGAGCCUCUCUUCCCCCCCAUUGGGACGCCUUUGGGUGAGCACCUGUAACACCUAUAACACCUAUAACAUCUGUAACACUUAUAACAUCUAUAACAUCUGUAACAUCUAUAACAUCUAUAACAUCUGUAACAUCUGUAACACCUACAACACCUGUAUAACAUCUGUAACACCUAUAACACCUGUGUAUUUCAUGCAUACUAGCUUGCUUUUGCAGAUAGUCACUAUCACCGGCAAUCCAAAAGAACCUGAUUAUCUGUUGCUGUAAUAAACCAUACUUGAUUGCAUUGUGAUAGCUCUCAUUAAUGCAACUAGGGUGAGGGUGGUUAUCCGUGAUAGUUCAGUGUUGUGAAUCUAACCAGACCCCCAGACGGUUAAUGCAUUUUUGGUGAAUGUCUGAACGGACCCCCAGGUGGUUAAUACGUUUUUGGUGAAUGUCUGAGCGGACCCCCAGGCGGUUAUUACGUUUUUGGUGAAUGUCCGAACGGACCCCCAGACCGUUAAUGCGUUUUUGGUGAAUGUCUGAGUGGACCCCCAGGCGGUUAAUGUGUUUUUGGUGAAUGUCCGACUGGUUCAGUACUCUGAAUCCAACCGGGCCCGUAACGGUUAAUCAGCUACACCCCUUUAAUGCGACAGUCUUCUAUGAAAUAUAAGUUACUUUCUUGUGCAGAACAGGGCUGUAAAAAUAAAUAAAUAAAUAAAUAAAAAGUGUCA
Molecule: long non-coding RNA, 1450 nt
Filed under: Anas platyrhynchos platyrhynchos (common mallard)
Lineage: Eukaryota; Metazoa; Chordata; Aves; Anseriformes; Anatidae
Description: lncRNA (ENSAPLG00000023639.1)
Source: RNAcentral